CACGUAGGAGACGAGCGUUAUCCGGAUUUACUGGGUGUAAAGCGCGUGCAGGCGGUAUGGUAAGUUGGAUGUGAAAGCUCCUGGCUUAACUGGGAGAGGUCGUACAAGACUGCCAGACUAGAGGACAGCAGAGGGGAGUGGAAUUCCGAGUGUAGCGGUAAAAUGCAUAGAUAUUCGGAAGAACACCAGUGGCGAAGGCGGCUCUCUGGGCUGUACCUGACGCUCAGACGCGAAAGCUAGGGUAGCAAACGGGAUUAGAAACCCCUGUAGUCC
Molecule: ribosomal RNA, 273 nt
Filed under: uncultured prokaryote
Description: partial 16S ribosomal RNA
Rfam family: Bacterial small subunit ribosomal RNA
Source: RNAcentral